This 481-nucleotide ribosomal RNA is filed under the name Camellia sinensis. RNAcentral describes it as "eukaryotic LSU rRNA". It matches the Rfam family "Eukaryotic large subunit ribosomal RNA", at positions 2926 to 3401 of the family's 3401-position model. The record is from RNAcentral. Lineage: Eukaryota; Viridiplantae; Streptophyta; Magnoliopsida; Ericales; Theaceae.
GGAUUGUUCACCCACCAAUAGGGAACGUGAGCUGGGUUUAGACCGUCGUGAAACAGGUUAGUUUUACCCUACUGGUGACAAUGUUGCAAUAGUAAUUCAACCUAGUACGAGAGGAAUCGUUGAUUCACAUAAUUGGUCAUCGAGCUUGGUUGAAAAGCCAGUAACGCGAAGCUACCGUGCGCUAGAUUAUGACUGAACACCUCUAAGUCAGAAUCUGGGCUAGAAGCGAUGCAUGCGCCCGCCACCUGCUUGUCGACCAGCAGUAGGGGCCGUCCGGCCCCCAAAAGCAUGUGUCAUUGGUGAAGCUUGCGCGGUGGAUAAGCUGCGCAGGCCGCCUUGAACUACAAUUCCUAUCUUGAACGGCGAGUAGAAUCCUUUACAGACGACUUAAAUACGCGACAAGGUAUUGUAAGUGGGAGAGUGUCCUUGCUGCCAUGAUCCACUAAGAUUCAGCCCUGCGUCGCUCCGAUUCCUCCCUCCC